Molecule: unclassified non-coding RNA, 204 nt
Filed under: Hevea brasiliensis (rubber tree)
Lineage: Eukaryota; Viridiplantae; Streptophyta; Magnoliopsida; Malpighiales; Euphorbiaceae
Source: RNAcentral
GAAGGAGUUUGGGCCAAUCAAACCUCAUUUCGGGCUGGCAGCUUGCAAGGAGGCUGGAAGGCUCCAGAAUUCUCUCCAUUUCUCCUGAAUGUCCAAGGCAACUUGUUAGGGAAGCCUUGCAGCAAUUUUGAGGAAUUGGGAGGGAAGAAAUCUGCACCACAAGUUGAGGAGGUGCUGCUGCCUAUAAAUACUUGUUGCCUAGGC